This 253-nucleotide ribosomal RNA is filed under the name uncultured bacterium. Its description in RNAcentral is "partial 16S ribosomal RNA". It matches the Rfam family "Bacterial small subunit ribosomal RNA", at positions 524 to 776 of the family's 1533-position model. The record is from RNAcentral.
UACAGAGGGGGCAAGCGUUGUUCGGAAUUACUGGGCGUAAAGGGCUUGUAGGUGGCCAACUAAGUCAGACGUGAAAUCCCCCGGCUUAACCGGGGAACUGCGUCUGAUACUGGAUGGCUAGAGAUUGGGAGAGGGACGCGGAAUUCCAGGUGUAGCGGUGAAAUGCGUAGAUAUCUGGAGGAACACCGGUGGCGAAGGCGGCGUCCUGGACCAACACUGACACUGAAAAGCGAAAGCCAGGGGAGCAAACGGG